Molecule: ribosomal RNA, 258 nt
Filed under: uncultured bacterium
Lineage: Bacteria
Description: partial small subunit ribosomal RNA
Rfam family: Bacterial small subunit ribosomal RNA
Source: RNAcentral
AGGACGAACGCUGGCGGCGUGCUUAACACAUGCAAGUCGAGCGGAAAGGCCCUUCGGGGUACUCGAGCGGCGAACGGGUGAGUAACACGUGAGCAAUCUGCCCUUAGCUUCGGGAUAGCCCCGGGAAACCGGGAUUAAAUACCGAAUAUGACCUUGGCCGACAUCGGCCUUGGUGGAAAGUUUUUCGGCUAGGGAUGAACUCGCGGCCCAUUAGCUAGUUGGUGGGGUAAAGGCCUACCAAGGCGACGACGGGUAGCC